GCUACCAUGGCUCAGUCGGUAGAGCGUCUCAUUCGUAAUGAGAAGGUCGCCGGUUCGAUUCCGGCUGGUAGCU
RNAcentral lists this transfer RNA (73 nucleotides) under Eubacterium sp. RNAcentral describes it as "tRNA-Thr". It matches the Rfam family "tRNA". From Rfam's summary of the family: Transfer RNA (tRNA) molecules are approximately 80 nucleotides in length. Their secondary structure includes four short double-helical elements and three loops (D, anti-codon, and T loops). Further hydrogen bonds mediate the characteristic L-shaped molecular structure. tRNAs have two regions of fundamental functional importance: the anti-codon, which is responsible for specific mRNA codon recognition, and the 3' end, to which the tRNAs corresponding amino acid is attached (by aminoacyl-tRNA synthetases). tRNAs cope with the degeneracy of the genetic code in two manners: having more than one tRNA (with a specific anti-codon) for a particular amino acid; and 'wobble' base-pairing, i.e. permitting non-standard base-pairing at the 3rd anti-codon position. Lineage: Bacteria; Bacillati; Bacillota; Clostridia; Eubacteriales; Eubacteriaceae. The record is from RNAcentral.